This is a long non-coding RNA of Rhododendron vialii, 3581 nucleotides long. RefSeq lists it as uncharacterized. The transcript has 5 exons. The record is from RefSeq and is a predicted model, not a curated record. Lineage: Eukaryota; Viridiplantae; Streptophyta; Magnoliopsida; Ericales; Ericaceae.
UAGGGAAGUCCAACACGCGAAGACGAAGACGUAACAAAUAUAUCCAGAUAGAAAGCCAGAUACAGACUAAUCGCAAAGCCCGGUGGCGUUACAGAGAGAGAGAGAGGGAGAGAGGAUAUGCGGAGGGGAAGGGGCCUUUCUCCUUCCACCGGACGGCCAGCCGCGGCCGUGUAAAGUAAUUGGCGGAUCCACCGCAGGCGGCGGCGAUUGAGAUCACGGCCCUCGCCGCUGCCGCGGUGGCGUCCGCCAGCAGCUCGAUCGCGUCGGCGAUAGUGCCUGCGGCAGGGAAGGCGAAGAAGGAGGCAGGCGGAGCGUGGCUGUGGAUGCGGUUCGAACGGUUUGGGCAGUCGGAGCUGAUCGAGUGAGACAAGAGCUCGAUCAUCAAGUGCGUGUCGAUUCCGGCAAGGGAUUUGAGGAUUCUUGGCCCGUCUUCUCUCACUCCUCCAAUAUCCUGGUCCGACAAUCUUUGCCAAGUGAAAAGACAGCUCCAAGAAAGUAGUUACUGCACUUGGAGGAGAAAUAGAUCAAAAAAGCAUACAAUUCUUAACAUCACUGACAUGCAAGAGGGUCUGAUGAGCUUAGGCAUUCUCAGAAGUUAGAGCUCCAAGUUUCUACAGACUAUUUUAGCUCUAAGAACAUGCUUGGCGCCAGGGGCUUUGGAAAUGUGUACAGGGGAAAGUUGCCGGAUGAGACAAUUGUGGCCGUAUAACGCUUGAAGGACAUGAUAGGAACAGCUGGAGAAUCACAAUUUAGGACUGAAUCGGAGAUGAUUAGCUUGCUGUCCAUCAGACUUUGUUGCGCUUAAUCGGAUACUGUACCAUCCAGAACGAGAGGCUUCUGGUGUAUCCCUUCAUGUCUAAGGGCAGUAUGACCACAAGGCUUAGAGGUUUGUGAGCUUUUGCUUCACUACACAAAGCAAACUCGAUGGUCGUUUUAUCUUAGGGAAGGAACACCAGUCAACGCAGUGCAGAAAGGAGGUGUAUUGUUCCUUAGAUUGUUGGAGAAAAUUUAAUGCAACAUUAGUUAGUUAGGGAUAAAAAUAUACUAACGAUAUUUUGGAGGAAAAUUAGGAGAAAAUCAAGUCUAAUUGGUUAUAUGUGUGCCGAAUAAUAAGUAAAGGCAAUAAUUACCGUUAGUGCUCCUAGUAUCAAGGAGACUAAGUCAGUGGUUUCAACCAACCCCUAUGAUUUCUCCCAUGAUCUCUUACUAUUAUGUAUAUACGUCCUUUACAAACCCACGUAAUUAAUAUAAAAGGUAUGUGAUAAAUAAUCCAUCAAUAGCAAAUCUUAAAUAAAUAUAUGAAAGUAAAACAUAAAAUUAUUUCAAGAAUUACCUCUCCCAAAACUUCAUUAAAACGGGUAGGAGGUUGUUGAGGUUUACGGUCCAUCCGGACCAGAGAAGGUGGACUUGUUGGAGUACCUCAGCAUGCACUUCUCAUGCCAAAUCAUGACCCGCUUCGACCUGGAGCACUUAUCGACUACAUCUCUGCUAGCGGAUACGAGACAUUCCUGACACAUGGCCACAGAGACGUCUUCGCGGCAAAGGAAGAGGCCAUAGGCGACGUCAGGGGGGCUGCUGCGGGCGGUGAAGUUGAAAAAUCUUAAAGAGGCGUUGGAGUUGGAGGAGAGAACGGACAGGAGGUUGUUGAGGUUUGCUUGGUGCUGUUUAGGGCGUAAGUAAAGAUUGUGGUCCCAGAUAUGUAAUUAAUUAGUUGUGCUCGGCUCUACAAUGCAUAAUAUGCCCUACAAAUGCCCAAAAAGGCUCUGUUUGUUUAUUUACUCAAUUUGCUUCGUCGGCCUCAUCCCAAUCCCAAUCCCAAUGAUCAAAGCUGAACCUUUAUUCAUGGACUGCCAGCAUAUCUGGGACCACAAUCAAACAGCACCUACCAAGCAAACCUCUAGAACCUCCUAUCCGUUCUCUCCUUCAACUCCAACACCUCUAUCGGAUUUUUCAACUUCACCACUGGCAGCAGCCCCCUUGAUGUCACCUACAGCCUCUUCCUCUACCAUGGCGACAUCUUCACUACCGUGUGUCGAGAAUGUAUUGUUUCCGCUAGCAGAGAUGCAGUCAAAAAGUGCCCCUGGUCAAAGCGGCGACGAUCUGGCAUGAGAAGUGCAUGCUGAGGUACUCCAACAAGUCCACAUUCUCUAGUCCAAAUGGACGGUAUUGGGGGUUGUGAAAAAUACACUAAACGUUAUUGAUACCCAUUUUAACCAUGUUUUGGGAGAAAAACAUCCACUGGGUUGAGCAGAAGGACCAUCAUUAGAUGGAGGUUGAGGAGGAGGUGGAGAAUUUACAAGGAGUGGGAGGUAAAGGAGAGCAUAGUGCACAGGGAUCUCCAGAGUCCGAGGAAAUUGUUGAACUAAUUUUAUGUUUUACUUUCAUAUAUCUAUUUAAGAUUUGCUAUUGAAGGAUUAUGUAUCACAUACCUUUUAUAUUAAUUACGUGGAUGUGUUAAAGAGGUAUAGUUGAACCCAGUGACUUAGUCUCCUUGAGUCUAGGAGCACUAACGGUAUAAUUACUGCCUUUACUUAUUCGGCACACAUAUAACCAAUUAGACUUGAUUUUGUCCCAAUUUUCCUCCAAAAUAUUAGUAGUAUGUUAUUUUCCGUAACUAACUAAUGUUGAAUUAAAUUUUCUCCAACACCGACAACCACCAGCAGUUGGAGAUCACAGCCCGAAUUUUGUAAGGUAGCGGAGGCGUGGGACUUUUCCAGGUGAUGAGGAAAGGAAGAAUUGGGAAGUGACGCGAGCUUCCGAGACGAUCUUACGUUAGGCAAGACUUUUGGGCUGUCAGGUCAGCUUAAUUAUGUUGAUGGAGUCCUCGAUUCCAAAAGACUACGAGUGGAGGUAAAGUUUAAUGUUUGUUUCACGAAAAUAUUGAGUGCUAAUGAAUUUGGUCAACAAAUCAGUUACGCGUUAUGGUGUUGCAUACUUUUGAGUAUAAUUACUCCAUUCUGCAAGCUGUCGAUCCCUUGCAAAGAUGCAAUAUAUACCUGGAAGAUGUAGCAUACAAUAUAUCUUUUUUGAGUUCUUCCAUGGUUUUUGUGUAAGAUAUCACCAUAGAUUAACCAUUUUGCUAAGUUUCUGGCUUUUGUGUGCAUACAUACAUGGAAAAGGCCUCAUUUUUUGAACUGUAAUUAUCUAAUGAUAUUAACCUGGUUCGUUAUGGAAUUCCAAGAUGCGCUUAUUUGAAGUUCCCUAGACUGUUGUUGCGAUUCCCUUAAUGUCUUGUGACUUUUUCAUCUGAAUUUUGUAGGAUUGUCUUCCAUCAGAGUUUUACCUGGAUCAGUUUAUCAUGAAAUGGUAGCGCUAAGCUCUUUGCCUCAAGGAUUUUUUUCGUGAUAUCCAUGUCUUAUACAACUCAUAUUGCUGUGGGUAGAUGUUAAAAUUAUGUGCGUUGUUAGAAUUAUGAUAUGCAGAAUGUAGCAAACUGGCCAGGGCUUCAAUGCUUUCUUUUUUUGCCAUUGAAGCUUCGUCCCAGAUAAUCAAAGAUGUUUGCUUUGGCAGAGUUGCAACUUGCAAGAUUAUUGUAAUUUAUUAGACCAUGUAAUUAUAACUGCAGUCUCCUACUCCAUUCC